RNAcentral lists this ribosomal RNA (1427 nucleotides) under uncultured organism. Its description in RNAcentral is "SSU rRNA". It matches the Rfam family "Bacterial small subunit ribosomal RNA". The record is from RNAcentral.
ACACAUGCAAGUCGAGGGGCAGCAUUUCAGUUUGCUUGCAAACUGGAGAUGGCGACCGGCGCACGGGUGAGUAACACGUAUCCAACCUGCCGAUAACUCGGGGAUAGCCUUUCGAAAGAAAAAUUAAUACCCGAUGGCAUAAUUAGACCGCAUGGUCUUAUUAUUAAAGAAUUUCGGUUAUCGAUGGGGAUGCGUUCCAUUAGGCAGUUGGUGAGGUAACGGCUCACCAAACCUUCGAUGGAUAGGGGUUCUGAGAGGAAGGUCCCCCACAUUGGAACUGAGACACGGUCCAAACUCCUACGGGAGGCAGCAGUGAGGAAUAUUGGUCAAUGGACGAGAGUCUGAACCAGCCAAGUAGCGUGAAGGAUGACUGCCCUAUGGGUUGUAAACUUCUUUUAUACGGGAAUAAAGUGAGGCACGUGUGCCUUUUUGUAUGUACCGUAUGAAUAAGGAUCGGCUAACUCCGUGCCAGCAGCCGCGGUAAUACGGAGGAUCCGAGCGUUAUCCGGAUUUAUUGGGUUUAAAGGGAGCGUAGGCGGACGCUUAAGUCAGUUGUGAAAGUUUGCGGCUCAACCGUAAAAUUGCAGUUGAUACUGGGUGUCUUGAGUACAGUAGAGGCAGGCGGAAUUCGUGGUGUAGCGGUGAAAUGCUUAGAUAUCACGAAGAACUCCGAUUGCGAAGGCAGCUUGCUGGACUGUAACUGACGCUGAUGCUCGAAAGUGUGGGUAUCAAACAGGAUUAGAUACCCUGGUAGUCCACACAGUAAACGAUGAAUACUCGCUGUUUGCGAUAUACAGUAAGCGGCCAAGCGAAAGCGUUAAGUAUUCCGCCUGGGGAGUACGCCGGCAACGGUGAAACUCAAAGGAAUUGACGGGGGCCCGCACAAGCGGAGGAACAUGUGGUUUAAUUCGAUGAUACGCGAGGAACCUUACCCGGGCUUGAAUUGCAACUGAAUGAUGUGGAGACAUGUCAGCCGCAAGGCAGUUGUGAAGGUGCUGCAUGGUUGUCGUCAGCUCGUGCCGUGAGGUGUCGGCUUAAGUGCCAUAACGAGCGCAACCCUUAUCGAUAGUUACCAUCAGGUUAUGCUGGGGACUCUGUCGAGACUGCCGUCGUAAGAUGUGAGGAAGGUGGGGAUGACGUCAAAUCAGCACGGCCCUUACGUCCGGGGCUACACACGUGUUACAAUGGGGGGUACAGAAGGCAGCUACACGGCGACGUGAUGCUAAUCCCGAAAGCCUCUCUCAGUUCGGAUUGGAGUCUGCAACCCGACUCCAUGAAGCUGGAUUCGCUAGUAAUCGCGCAUCAGCCACGGCGCGGUGAAUACGUUCCCGGGCCUUGUACACACCGCCCGUCAAGCCAUGAAAGCCGGGGGUACCUGAAGUGCGUAACCGCAAGGAGCGCCCUAGGGUAAAACUGGUGAUUGGGCC